Molecule: ribosomal RNA, 253 nt
Filed under: uncultured bacterium
Lineage: Bacteria
Description: partial 16S ribosomal RNA
Rfam family: Bacterial small subunit ribosomal RNA
Source: RNAcentral
UACAGAGGGUGCGAGCGUUAAUCGGAAUUACUGGGCGUAAAGCGAGCGUAGUCGGUUGUCUAAGUCGGAUGUGAAAGCCCCGGGCUCAACCUGGGAAUUGCAUUCGAUACUGGGCAGCUAGAGUUCGGCAGAGGGAAGCGGAAUUUCCGGUGUAGCGGUGAAAUGCGUAGAUAUCGGAAGGAACAUCAGUGGCGAAAGCGGCUUCCUGGACCAGAACUGACGAUCAGGCUCGAAAGCGUGGGGAGCAAACAGG